This 413-nucleotide RNase P RNA is filed under the name Magnetococcales bacterium. RNAcentral describes it as "RNase P RNA component class A". It matches the Rfam family "Bacterial RNase P class A". Rfam says of the family: Ribonuclease P (RNase P) is a ubiquitous endoribonuclease, found in archaea, bacteria and eukarya as well as chloroplasts and mitochondria. Its best characterised activity is the generation of mature 5'-ends of tRNAs by cleaving the 5'-leader elements of precursor-tRNAs. The record is from RNAcentral. Lineage: Bacteria; Pseudomonadati; Pseudomonadota; Magnetococcia; Magnetococcales.
GGAGUGGGUUGGACCACCGCUGGUGAUUGGGACGACUGGCAGCAGUCGUUUUCGGUUGCGGGAGGAAAGUCCGGGCUCCACAGGGCAGGGCGCCGGGUAACGCCCGGCGGGGGUAACCCCAGGGAAAGUGCCACAGAGAGCAGACCGCCGGCCGGGAAGGUGUUGCAUCUUCCGCCGGCAAGGGUGAAAGGGUGCGGUAAGAGCGCACCGCGCCUUCCGGUAACGGAAAGCGGCAAGGAAAACCCCGCCUGGAGCAAGACCAAAUAGGGGGAGGCCAAGAACGGCCCGUUCGCUCCCCGGGUCGGUUGCUGGAGGUGGUCGGUAACGAUCAUCCUAGAGGAAUGGUGGUCAUCGCGACGCCCGUGGGGAAGGGGGUCGCGGGACAGAACCCGGCUUACAGACCCGCUCCGACU